UCCCAGGAAGCUAGAUAGUUAGUUUUUGCUUUCUAGGUGGUUCUGGGAGGGAAACCAGUUGGGGGAACCAUUAUUAAUAGAAGUCAGUGUUUUGUGUUCUUCUCUUCUUUGCUAAGGUUGAUCUAUGAUAAUUUCCAGCUAAUACCUAGAUACCUGUGGGAAAGCUAAGUAAGGAGAAUCCUGGGCCAGUAAGGAGCCUUUAAGAUUUUAAUCUUGAAGCCAGUCUCAAGGUGAUCAGAGCAAAGAGACAGCUGCCCUUGCCAGGUGAAGAUUGAUCUGAAGUGGAAGCACAUCCAGAACAAAAAGUCACUGGUGGCAAGAGAGAAGACAAGGAAGAGGAAUCCUUGAGAAAAAUGAAAAGAGGUUUACAGUCACAGGAUUCCAGUGAUUGUGUGAUUUUGGGAAAAUCACUUAGCUUCUCUGUAAUUCAGUUUUCACUCUGUACAAUAAGGGUUUGGACUAGAUCACGGAUGGCCACUAGAUCUCAACUAUGUAUCAAUACUGAUCAACUGAUUGAUUGGAAAACUGUGUUGAGAAGGAUUCUGUAGCUCUGUCUGCACUCUUGUUCAUCUGAAGAAUCAUCUAGAAUAAUUGAUAGACUAUACACAGGUAAGAACCUAAUUUAAACUGCACAAAGCUGUUGCAGUUCAUUGGAAAACUGAGGGGUUUGGGAGAAAGGGAAGCAUGAUCUUCCUCCUUGAGAAAGAAGGAAGCUUCUGGGAGGACUUCAGUUUGGAGAAAAUCUCUUCAUCUGGGCACCUCAGUCUCAAGCAAACUCCAGACCUGUCUUGAUCCUGUAAGUAAUGGGGCUGAAGGCCACCAACACAAUCUAAUUAUGACCCUUCCCACCCAAAAAGGGUACUCUUAUACAGGGAGGUUUGAACGUUCUUAGGAGCAGAUUUCUUUUUUUAAAUUUUUAAAAAGGAUUUUAUUUAUUUAUUUGAGAGAGAGAGAGAAAGAGUGAGAAAGAACAUAAGCAGGAAGAGGGAGAGGGAGAAGCAGACUCUCUUCUGAGCAGGGAACCCAAAGCGGGGCUUGAUCCCAGGACCCUGGGAUCAUGACCUGAACUGAAGGCAGAUGCUUAACCAACUAUACCAUCCAGGUCCCCCUUAGGAGCAGAUUUAAAGGUGUUAGAAGCUAAAGCUGAUGGAAACGUUUCAGAGGAAGCUCCAUAUUCUAACUUGUUUAAAAACUAUAAACUUGUGGAAAUGAGAACAAAAUUUAAGAGGUCGCCUAAGUAAAAGUUUUCAUGGAAAAAAAAGUGGUUCCCAAGCUCAAAUUAAAUGCACAAAACACUGGAAAGAGGCUUCCUCACUGCUAGACUUCUCAGAGCCUCAUAUGUAUAUUAUUAUGAAUCUCUAAGAGGGCGAUAUGGUUCACAGAUUUAUUGAACCAAAAACCAUUUUUGUCACAAGGCGUACAUUAACAUUUUUUAGGAGUCACAUUUGUGCAACAGAGCUUGCAGAGUCAUUGAUCUAAAAUAACAUCUUUAUUUCAUAGUUAAGAAAAAAGGAAGGCUCAGUGAGGGUGAGUAGCUCACCCAGCUAGUUUGUGGCAGAACCUGGAUUAAAACUCAUGAUUCCUAGUCCAAUACUUUUCUUUUGAAGAAAAAUAAUCCAUCUUUUAUUGCAUAUUUACUUUGCUAACUUCUAUGCUAAGUUUCUUGAAUAUGUGAUCACAUUAUCUUAUGAUUACAUCAUCUUACAACAAUCCUGUGAGUUAGGUAUUAUUAUUCUCAUUUACAAGUCAGGAAAUUGAGGUUUAGGAGAGUCCUCAGUCACUUAGUAAAUGAUACAGUUGGGAAUUAAAGGACUCUAAGCCUGCCCACGCAUCCCCUAUAUCAGUUGUCUUUUUCUGUUGCCCUUGGUCCAACUUGCUUAACUUUCUAUUCAAAAUAUGAUUAGGCUUUUCAUACCUGUAAUGUUGUCAUAAUUUCGGAAGGUCUUUUCUACGUGGUCCCAUUCAAGGAAAAUGCACUUUCCAGUAAAAGGCUGAGCAAUGACUACAUACUCAUCAUUCAUAUAAGAAAAAGUAUCUAUGGACAGUGAUUGAUAAGGCAGGUCUUGAGACUUUGCAAAUUCUGCAAAAAUAGGAAAUGAUGAUGAAUAACCAUGUGCUAAUGCGUCACUCUUGGCUAGAUCUCAAAUGUUCUUAAGAGAUACAUUUAUUUAAGAGUAAUAGUAAAAUGAUAAUUUUACUUUGCUUUUAAACACACAAAGUUUUAAUGCUUUAUCAAAUUUUAAAAAGUAAAAUUGGUUGGUUGGCUUUUAAAGAUAUAAAAAAUAUCAAUUUCUGCACACACAAAAAUGUAGCCCUAUUUUUAGCUUUAUGAGGUGGAAUGAUUUGGAAUAAUUACCUGUAAUAAUGCAAUCAAAAUCCUUGGGAGAGAGACUAUUGAUUUUGCGUUUUUUGUAUUCUGGGGGGCCUUCACAGUAGAUGUCUUCAACAGUUGCAUUGGUGUGGCCCAGCCAUUCUACCAGCCACUUCAGUUUACAAUCACAAUUAAAUGAAUUCCCUCUCAGGUCCCUGAAAGACAAACUUCAGUUGCUUUUGCUGUAGGAUUAUUCUACCUAAACAGGUAUGACUUCUACUUCAGCAAUUAACAUAUGGAGAAUGCCUUUACCCAGUUUUACAUCAUGCCCCAUGAUCUACCUUGAACUUGACUGACAAUUCAUUUUAGAGAGUUCCCACAGUUCAUCCUUGAAUGCCACCCAAUCAAUAGAACUUCAUAACUUAUUCCCUCUUGGAUCAAAGGUGGCUCUGUCUAGAGCUGUGCUGUCUGUAGAACUACAGUGUGAACUAUAUAUGUAAUUUAAAUUUUUCUGUAUUUCUGAAAAAAGUAACAAGAAGUAGGUGAAACUAAUUUUUAAAAUAUUUUUUAUUUAAAAUAACUUAUUUUAUUAAUUUUAAAAUAAUAUAAUUUAUUUAAUAUUUCACACAAAAUAUUAUCAUUUAGAUGUGUAGCCAAUACAAACAUUAUUAAUGAGAUAUUUUACAGUUUUAAAAAAUAUCUCAAUUUGGAUGCUAAGUUUUCAUCAGAAGUAUGUGAUCUAUAUUUAGAUUUCAUAAAAUUUAUAGUUGGAAAAAAUAGUUUCACAUGUCCAAGUUGUUCCAAACAUAAUUCUUUCAAUAAUUGAACUGAGAAUCUGUUUUUCAAUUUAAAUUUAGUUUUUUACUUAAUUUUUUAAGAAUUAAGUGAAAUCCUUUUUUUUUUUUUUUUUUAAGAAUUAAGUGAAAUCUAAAGCUUUGCUCCUUAGAUGCACCUGGAACGCUGCUUGGUAACCACAUGUGUGGCUACCAUGUUGGCCAGUGCAGGUCUAGAGGGUAGAAUAUAGUCCUUAUUGUAUCAUAUUCAAUUAAAUCAAGGGAGUUAUUUGUUUUUGUUCUUCCUCACAGAUGGAAUUCAUCCGGAUGCUAUUCCAUGGUCUACAAAUUCAAUUUUAAUAGGAAAUGGCUUUGACACAGCAGAGUUAACUCAGACGUACAGCAGCUCAUGUCUGUGAUAAACUAUACAGCAUGGAUAAUUUCAGUUUCCACAUAUGAUCCCAACUCACCAAGCUUUCUGUUUAUUUGCAUUGCUUCUGUUCAGAAAUUCCAGCUCCUUCCUAGACCCUUCUCAGUCACACAGAAUUCCUACGAUAGAUACUGCCUCAUCUUCACACAGAUGGGCCAGAGGAUGACACCCAAAUAAGCUGCAUCCUCAAGUCUGCCAUGGCGUAUCAUCUAACUUCCAAGACAUUCCCAAGACUGACUUCAUCUCCCAAGAAUAUUCUGACCCUAAAUAAUGAGUGUGAACUUCUCUGGGUGAUUGUAAACCAGAACAGAUAACCGUGGUCUGUCCGAGACCCUCUUGGAUGUGUCUUGCUUCUGGCACUCUCUUGGAAAUAAAUCAUCAUUCAGGAAUUGGGGCACUAGGCAUUGAGGCGGGGCUGGGGAAAUACCAGAAGGAACAAAGAAAGUUUUUCAUUAGCUUACUGAUUUGAAGUUAAAUACUAGGUUUAGGAGAAAAUACUUGACUCAGAUCUCAGAUUGGAGAAAAGUUGUUUUGAGUAUAUAUUCUGUAGCAAAAUACCUUAAUUGAUAAGAAACCUUUUUUUUUUUUUCAUAUAUCCUUUCAUUUGUCCCUGUAUCUACCUUAUGACCAUUUAAAUACCCUUCUAAUGUCUGGAAGGAACUUAAUGAAGCUAAAUUGCUUUUGAGAGAGUUAGGCAUAUAUUACUUGUUUUGCUUACAACAAAAUAUACAAAUUCCUUACAAAGAUCUUUCACUCUGAGGCUUAAAAGUCAAAGUUUGAAAGCUCUUUUGUUUGAAAAAGGGUCAAAAAUAAUUAAGUUCAUUCCCUUUCCUGGGGCUUAAGCCAAAUUCCUGGGGAUUAAGCCUAGAGUUGUUGUUCAGUCUAAGGAGAGAAAAGGCAAACUUGCCUCCCUUCCCCCACUUCCUGCUCCAUUUCUCUGUUGACUGACCAACCCAUGGGUGUAACCUUUCUUCUACACUCGGUCAGUUUCCCAGACUCCUUUAUGUUUUUCCUUUUGUAGCCCCAUUUCCUGGACCUCAUGAGAAAAAAGGCAUCUUGAAAUUUUACUCUGGGCCUCCUCUUCCCACCCCCUCAAAGUCGCUUAUCAGCACCUCCUCCCAUAGGACACACACUUUGCCCCAAGGAAUGCCUGGGCACUUUAUGUUCAGAAUUUCCAGUGGGAAAUACCAUAGAAGACUCAAACAUUAGUUCAAGUAAAUUUAAAAUUUAAGCCAAUUUAAAAUUUAAAUUGUAAGGCCCUAAUUAAAAUUUAAAGCCAAUUACAAAUUCUAAACAUCAAUACUAGGCUUCUUUGUUAACUACUACAAAUUAAUUAAUCAAUGAUUUCUUAGGUCCUCUUACACAUUUGUUAAAGAAUCCAGGCCUUUGAAAAUAUCUUUUGGGAGUGUCUGGAGAUUGUUGUUUGCAAGGCUCCUGGAAAAAGAAAAAAAUAAAAAAAAAAAGACUGAUGUAAACUAUAAUGAUAAACUAAAUAA
Canis lupus familiaris (dog) is the source of this 5010-nucleotide long non-coding RNA. RefSeq lists it as uncharacterized. NCBI's taxonomy places the organism in Eukaryota, Metazoa, Chordata, Mammalia, Carnivora, Canidae. The record is from RefSeq and is a predicted model, not a curated record. The transcript is spliced from 5 exons.